GAUGAGCUAACUGUCCAAUAACUCCCUUUUUGGUCCGUUACAACCGGGACCAAAAUGCUAAGCGGGGCGUAAUGUAGUACACUCAUCAGGCCCUUAUCAAAUAAUCACACAUUCCCCCCUUCGAUGUGGGACUAAUGGGAUGUUACAAUGGCGAACAAAUACCCCUUGAGAAAGAUGAAAAGGACUUUGAAAAGAGAGUCAAAGUGCUUGAAAUUGCGGGAGAAGCGGAUGGGGGCAGCGAUGCACCUCGGUCGAAUGCGGGCAAUGCGGUUAGCCCGGUCCCCUUCGGCUUCGAAGUGCGGAUCGAUCUUGAGCUGCAUCGGCCGAAGCCCCGGGCCGGAUCGUUCGUUUCGAGGGGAUACCGUCGAUCUGGUCGAGGACAUGGCCAUGGCGCGCCAUCGGCGUGCCCCUGAAUUACCACGUGCGACCUAGGCAUCGGCCCGAUGGGCUCCCCAUCAAACCCGUCUUGAAACAUGGACCAAAAUUCGACAUGCGUCGCGAGUCGGCCAGUGCGGAAGCCGGAAGGCACAAAGGAAGCUAGCGGGCGGGAACCCUCUGGGGUUGCACCUCCGGCCCCGAUCUUACGUGAAGGGUUCGAGUUGGAGCAUGCAUGUCGGGACCCAAAAGAUGGUGAACUAUGCGAGGCGUGCGAAGCGAGAGGAAACUCGGUGGAGGCCGAUAUCUUGGCGAUGCAAAUCGUUAAAUCGACUUGGGUAUAGGCGAAAAGACUAAUCGAACCAUCAAGUAGCUGGUUCCCUCAAAGUUUCCUCGGGAUAGGCUGGAGCCCACAUCUCGAGUUCUAUUGGGUAAAACCAAUGAUUAGAGCAUCGGGGGGCAUAGCGCCCUCGACCCUAUUCUCAAACUUUAAAUAGGUAGGACCCGGUGCUUCCCGUUGAACCGCGUCAGCCGGAAUCGAAACUCAAAAUGGGCCAUUUUGAGUAAAAGAACUGGCGAUCUUGGGAUGAGCAGGCAGCCGGGUUCACGGUGCCCAAUUGCCGCUAACCCGACACCACAAAGGGUGUUGGUGGAUUAAAACAAUGGGGGCCGGUGGUCAUGGAAGUCAAAAUCCGCUAAGGAUCGCGUAACAACUCACUGCCGAAUCAACUAGCCCCAAAAUGGAUGGCUGAAGCCUUGCCACCCACCGACCAUCCCGGCGUAAAAGCGAUGAUGGGAGGGAGCGGCGGUCGCCAUAAAACCGGGCCUUGAGCCCCGGCGGGCGACGUCGGUGCAGAUCUUGGUGGUAGUAGCAAAUAUUCAAAUAAGAACUUUAAAAGGCGAAGAGGAAAAGGUUCCAUGUGAGCGGCACUUGCACAUGGGUUAGCCGAUCUAAGGGGCCAGGGGAACCCGUCAGGAAAUCGUCUCUCCAUUGAAACUCGAAAGGAAUCGGGUUAAAAUUCCCCAAAGCCGGGCCCAGCGGCCAGCAACAACGUUAAAAGUCGGGAGGCGUGGGAACUCGGGAAGAGUUAUCUUUUCUGCUUAACGGCCCGCCCACCACAAAGCGGCUCAGCCGAAGGUAGGGUCCAGCCAGUCGGAAGAGCGCCCGCCGCGUCGCCGCGUCCGGUCGCCCGCGGCCCUUAAAUCGGAGGACCGAGUACCGCCAGCUCCGGUCGUACUCAUAACCGCAUCAGGUCUCCAAGGUGAACAGCCUCUGGCCCAUGGAACAAUGUAGGCAAGGAAGUCGGCAAAAAACGGAUCCGUAACCGGAAAAAGGAUUGGCUCACGAGGGCUGGGCACGGGGUCCGGCCCGAACCCCGUCGGCUAUCGGCGGACUGCUCGAGCUGCUCUCGCGGUUAGAAGCGGAUCGCCUUGUCUUGCUGAGAGACGGACGAGGAAUAACCCCCUCGGGGCCUUCCCGGCGUCGAACAACCGACUCUCAGAACUGGUGCGGACAAGGGGAAUCCGACUGUUUAAUUAAAACAAAAGCAUUGCGAUGGUCCCCUUGGAUGCUCACAUAAUGUGAUUUCUGCCCAGUGCUCUGAAUGUCAAAGUGAAGAAAUUCAACCAAAAGCGGGUAAAAGGCGGGGAGUAACUAUGACUCUCUUAAGGUAGCCAAAUGCCUCGUCAUCUAAUUAGUGAUAGCAUGAAUGGAUUAACGAGAUUCCCACUGUCCUGUCUACAAUCCAUGAAACCACAGCCAAAGGGGAGCGGGCUUGGCAGAAUCAGCGGGGAAAAGACCCUGUUGAGCUUGACUCUAGUCCGACAUUGUGAAAUGACUUGAGAGGUGUAGGAUAAAGUGGGAGCGGUUCGCCCGGCGGAAGUGAAAAUACCACUAUUUUUAACGUUAUUUUACUUAUUCCGUGAGUCGGAGGCGGGCCCGGCCCCCUUUUGGACCCAAGGCCCGCCCUAGCGGGCAAUCGGGCGGAAGACAUUGUCGGUGGGGGAGUUUGGCUGGGGCGGCACAUCUGUUAAAAAAAGAUAAGCAUAGUGUCCUAAGAUGAGCUCAACGAGAACAGAAAUCUCGUGUGGAACAAAAGGGCAAAAAGCUUCGUUUGAUUCUGAUUUCCAAUCUGAAUCUGAACCGUGGCGUGGCCUAUCAAUCCUUUAGACCUUCCGAAUUUGAAGCUAGAGGUGUCAGAAAAGUUACCACAGGGAUAACUGGCUUGUAGCAGCCAAGCGUUCAUAGCGGCGUUGCUUUUUUUGAUCCUUGAUGUCGGCUCUUCCUAUCAUUAUGAAGCAGAAUUCACCAAGUGUUGGAUUGUUCACCCACCAAUAGGAAGCGUGAGCUGGGUUUUAGGCCGUGGUGAGACAGGUUAGUUUUACCCUAUUGAUGAUGGGUAUUCGCGAUAGUAAUUCAACCUGAAUGCGAGGAACGUUGAUUCACACAAUUGGUCAUCGGCUUGGUUGAAAAAAACCAGUGGCCUAUGGCUUCCCGUGUGUCGGAUUAUGACUGAGCGCCUCUAAGUCAGAAUCCUAGCUAGCAACCGGCUCUCUCGCCCGUCGUUAAGCCUCCCGACCCACAGUAGGGGCCUUUGGCCCCCAUGGGCUCGAUGUGGCCCGUGUAGCCCUCGUGGUGGUAUAGCCCGCGGGCGACCAUCGAAAGUGAAAUUCCACC
This 3052-nucleotide ribosomal RNA is filed under the name Musa schizocarpa. RNAcentral describes it as "eukaryotic LSU rRNA". It matches the Rfam family "Eukaryotic large subunit ribosomal RNA". Lineage: Eukaryota; Viridiplantae; Streptophyta; Magnoliopsida; Zingiberales; Musaceae. The record is from RNAcentral.